Non-coding RNA from Cinara cedri, 689 nucleotides. The record is from the annotation of a GenBank genome assembly. NCBI's taxonomy places the organism in Eukaryota, Metazoa, Arthropoda, Insecta, Hemiptera, Aphididae.
AAAAUAACCACUGAAAAGAUUAUUAGCCAUUCUUUUAUAACGUCUGAACCCAAAUCAAAUUUUUUUUUUCAAAAAUCUUCGCUCAGGCGAUUUUCUAGAAAUUUUUAAAAAAACGAUCGCGCUGUAUAUUAUGUGCGGUGCCCCGACGACGACUUUGCCAUUCAUUUAGUAUGCGGUUUUUGUGUAUUGUCCGUAUAUUUCGCAAUGGCCGACGUUUCAUCUGUAACGGUCCACCGGACGUCUUCGGUUCGUAGGUCCGCCACGCGGCGUUCGAUAUAACAAAUGAACGAUCGAUAGGAAGAAAUACACAACAGUACACAAAGCAGCGCAUCACGAGUCCAUGGAUAUGAUAAAAACAAUAUUAAUAAUAUUACACGGUAUAUGAUACGCUCAACGUGAUAAAUUAAAUAUGGUUAAAACCGAGGAAAAUUAUAUCGUUAUUAUCGUAUUGUAUACAAAAAAAAAAAAAAAAAAAAAAAAAACUGUUAUCUAUAACGCUUAAUAUCGAAUAUCUAAAUUUGCGUUUGAUCACAACACCGACGAAUAGGAAAAUCAGUGAAAUAUUGUUACCGUGCAUAUAUAUAUAUAUAUAACAUAAUAUUUAAUUUCGAAACUAUUUGUUUGUAUUUUAUUAGUUCUUAAUUUGGUAUUUAUUUACGUUUUUGUUGUAUUGUAUUUGCAUUCCCGAC